AAUAGAUACCCAGGUAGUCCACGCCGUAAACGAUGAGUGCUAAGUGUUAGGGGUUUCCGCCCCUUAGUGCUGCAGCUAACGCAUUAAGCACUCCGCCUGGGGAGUACGGUCGCAAGACUGAAACUCAAAGGAAUUGACGGGGGCCCGCACGAGCGGUGGAGCAUGUGGUUUAAUUCGAAGCAACGCGAAGAACCUUACCAGGUCUUGACAUCCCAUUGGCCACUAUGGAGACAUAGUUUUCCCUUCGGGGACAACGGUGACAGGUGGUGCAUGGUUGUCGUCAGCUCGUGUCGUGAGAUGUUGGGUUAAGUCCCGCAACGAGCGCAACCCUUGUUCUUAGUUGCCAUCAUUUAGUUGGGCACUCUAAGGAGACUGCCGGUGACAAACCGGAGGAAGGUGGGGAUGACGUCAAAUCAUCAUGCCCCUUAUGACCUGGGCUACACACGUGCUACAAUGGACGGUACAAACGGUUGCCAACCCGCGAGGGGGAGCUAAUCCGAUAAAACCGUUCUCAGUUCGGAUUGUAGGUUGCAACUCGCCUACAUGAAGCCG
RNAcentral lists this ribosomal RNA (552 nucleotides) under uncultured bacterium. Its description in RNAcentral is "bacterial SSU rRNA". It matches the Rfam family "Bacterial small subunit ribosomal RNA", at positions 777 to 1328 of the family's 1533-position model. The record is from RNAcentral.